RNAcentral lists this ribosomal RNA (980 nucleotides) under Aquificota bacterium. RNAcentral describes it as "bacterial SSU rRNA". It matches the Rfam family "Bacterial small subunit ribosomal RNA", at positions 1 to 946 of the family's 1533-position model. Lineage: Bacteria; Pseudomonadati; Aquificota. The record is from RNAcentral.
UUCCUGAAGAGUUUGAUCCUGGCUCAGCGCGAACGCUGGCGGCGCGCCUAACACAUGCAAGUCGUGCGCAGGCUCGCUCCCUUUUGGGAGCGGGUGCUGAGCGGCAAACGGGUGAGUAACACGUGGGUAACCUACCCCCAGGAGGGGGAUAACCCCGGGAAACCGGGGCUAAUACCCCAUAAUGCCACCCGCCACUAAGGCGUGGUGGCCAAAGGGGGCCUCUGGGGCUUAUGCCCUAAGCUCCCGCCUGGGGAUGGGCCCGCGGCCCAUCAGGUAGUUGGUGGGGUAACGGCCCACCAAGCCGAUGACGGGUAGCCGGCUUGAGAGGGUGGCCGGCCACAGCGGGACUGAGACACGGCCCGCACCCCUACGGGGGGCAGCAGUGGGGAAUCGUGGGCAAUGGGCGCAAGCCUGACCCCGCGACGCCGCGUGGGGGAAGAAGCCCUUCGGGGUGUAAACCCCUGUCGGGGGGGACGAUGGGACCGUGGGCUAAUACCUCACGGUCCUGACGGUACCCCCAGAGGAAGGGACGGCUAACUACGUGCCAGCAGCCGCGGUAAUACGUAGGUCCCGAGCGUUGCGCGGAGUCACUGGGCGUAAAGCGUCCGCAGCCGGUCCCGUAAGCGGGAUGUCAAAGCCCGCCGCUCAACGGCGGAACGGCAUCCCGAACUGCGGGACUUGAGGCGCGCCCGGGCAGGCGGAAUUCCCGGGGUAGCGGUGAAAUGCGUAGAUCUCGGGAGGAACACCGAAGGGGAAGCCAGCCUGCUGGGGCCGUCCUGACGGUCAGGGACGAAAGCCGGGGGAGCGAACCGGAUUAGAUACCCGGGUAGUCCCGGCUGUAAACCAUGGGCGCUAGGGCUUGUCCCUUCGGGGGCAGGCUCGCAGCUAACGCGUUAAGCGCCCCGCCUGGGGAGUACGGGCGCAAGCCUGAAACUCAAAGGAAUUGGCGGGGGCCCGCACAACCGGUGGAGCGUCUGGUU